UCUAAUAUGGCAGAUAAGUGCAAUGGAUUUAAGCUCCAUACAUAGAGGUUAACCCUCUUAUUAGAA
This 66-nucleotide transfer RNA is filed under the name Epeorus sp. JZ-2014. RNAcentral's name for it is "tRNA-Leu". It matches the Rfam family "tRNA". From Rfam's summary of the family: Transfer RNA (tRNA) molecules are approximately 80 nucleotides in length. Lineage: Eukaryota; Metazoa; Arthropoda; Insecta; Ephemeroptera; Heptageniidae. The record is from RNAcentral.